AAAGCUGAUUUAUUACAUAAUUACAUGUAUGACUUCCUUCGUAACUGCGUGGCUGCCGGUCUGACUCACUCAACCUAUUCAGGAUAAUAACGCAGAGAAAAAAUUGAAUAGUCCAAGGCCUUUAUGUAAAUGACUUAUUUAUUUGUCUUACUUUAGUCCACAAUUUAGACACCGAAUUUCAGUAUGAGCACAGUUGUUCUGUUUUCAUCGAUCUGAAACGCGGCCGCGCCCGCACACAGCUCCGCCGCGCCGCGAGGGGGCGCUGCGGCACAGAGAGCGGCUGCGGGGCGGCAGCGCCCCGCGACUUCCGGGGCUUCUCGGCACCGACUUCCGGGCGGCGCUGCGGGCUGCCGGCGGUAGGGGGCAGCAGCGCCGCCGGGCUGCCGGCUCGGUGGUUCUUGUGUCGAUAGAAGCCUUUGAGCGCCCUCAAACCCGUUAUUUUUGUCCCAGUGAUCUCGGUGGCGGGAGGCUGGGGAGCAGAGCUCAGCCCGCAGGGUGGGUGCCGCUGCCGCUGAGCGCAUGGCAGGCAGGGCGUCCUGCAGGAGCGCGGGGACGUGCCGCCUCCUGACCCCCGUGGCCUUGACCAGCAGAGAACCGCCCUCGGGCUCACGGUGCACAACGAUCCCAGACAGCGACCCAGCUCCUCCAGCCCUUCUGCUUCGUACAGAGGCAUAGAUUUACUCUAGGAGUGGACACGCCAUUUCUAACAAAGAAUAUUCAGCCUUCUUUCCUACUGUAGGCAGGAGAGCAAUUAGAAACACCAAAUCAAGAUCUUCAGCACCUGAUCUUUUUAUCUCCCUGUGGCACAGAAUCACAGAAUGGCCAGGGUUGGAAGGGACCUCAAGGAUGAUGAAUCUCCAACCCCCUGCCACAUGCAUGGCCACCAACCUCCUCAUUUAAUGCUAGACCAGGCUGCCCAGGGCCCCAUCCAACCUGGCCUUGAACACCUCCAGGGACGGGGCACCUUUGGUUUCCAUUCACACCUGCCCAGCAGUGAAGCUGGUGCCUGCACCGAUUCUGCAGCCCAUGGCAGGUUUAGAAAGCUGAGAAGUGAAUCUGUUGAUAACAAAAUUCUAAAGCCCUGGUGUUGGUACAGCAGCCCUCCGUUAACACUGGGCAUUGAGCAGCAUGGGAGCCAACAGCAGAACUGUCAGAGCUCAAAUUGUUCAGAAGAGUUCCAUCUGUGCUGAAAUAAUGGGACAAAACGAGAAUCAAAGGUUAUGGACUUCGAUAUCAGCAUAUAUCUGAUAGGAGUCACAUACCCGAUCCCAGCUCCACCCCAUACAAGCACCUAUAUUGGGGUGACACAGAUGAGCCAAAUGGUCACUUCCACAUUUUAUGCACAAAGAAGUCAAAUCCCAAACGUCCAUUUUGAGUUCCACUUAAACGCAAUGUCUUAACGCACUCAGUUACGUGGGAGCGCCUGCGCAGAGCUGUGUGUGGCACACUGCGGGCCCUCGUGGAGAUUCUGCAAGCCAGGAAGGCCUGGGAUGUGCUCUGUGGAUCUGCAGAAUGCCUUAACCCCACCCAGGGGGCAGCGUGGGGCACAGAACCGCCUCCAAACUGAGAUCCCCCUUAACUCAGACCCCGGUCCUGUGUGUGUGCGGCACAGGGUCCAGCUGUUGGUUAGACUUCCUUAUGGUGUUUUCUUUAAUGAGAAAGCUGUACAGGACAGGUCCACGUGUAAAUAAGGGAUUACGUUUAUGUAGAUGUUAAUAUUUACAUGUAAAAAGUUAUGUACAUAGGAAAGAAAAUAAUGGCUCAAAGAAUGUUUUAAAAAUAGUUUCUUCUGUCUAAAGGCACAGAAGGACAGCGACACAGACGUGCUGCUGAGCUCAACGUAAGCUCAGCUUCGUGCUCGGCUUGGGGAUGCUCAGGGCUCAGUCCUGGGGGCUGAGGGGCUCUGGGCAGCCCUGCUCCAAACGGUGGAGGGACACACACUGAACGUGUUGCCCACUCACUGCUGCUCUGCUAUGGCAGCCUUAUUUCACCUACCGGAGUUUGGAAAGAGCGUGCAGUGUGUUAUCAGCAGCACAGGGAGCUUCUGGAGGAAUGCCAAAGGAGUCAAGGUGCUCCCAGUUCGGGUACUGCAGCGCUGGGCAGAGGCACGGCCUGGGCUGGACUGAUGCAACACAGCUGAACUAAGAGCCACUCGGAUCUCAGCUCACCUGGCUGCAGGAGCGUGGCGUCAGUGAGUGCCGUGCUCCAGCAGCACCCCAGCUUUCAGCGCAUCCCCGAGUGCCUUACGCAGCUCCUAAACGGAGCCACCGGCAGCCCAGGGGCUCAGGAAUCUGUGUUGUGAAUAGUGCAGCACAGCCUGUACUGAUGCGUGGUAUGUUUGCUAGAAAGGAAUGCUGAACAUCGAGGCGAACCAGAGAAAGUGGUUCCCCCGGCCGCUGCGCUGUGUGCUGUGCUCUGUAACCUCCAGCAGCCACAUCCCGAGUGCAGAACGUUGGGUCGGUGCCGCGGCAAUGACUGCUGGGCCCAAGGCGGGGCUGCAUCGAUCAAUUACAGAAUUUUACACAUAUUUUUGUAUUGUGAUUCAUAUGAUAUAUAUCAAGAGACUUUCUAUUCAUUUGUAAAAUACAUAAAUUAUUGUAAACUUUUAAUAAAAAGAGCUGUUUUAAACCUUAAAAUCGGUGA
This 2643-nucleotide long non-coding RNA is filed under the name Phasianus colchicus (ring-necked pheasant). RNAcentral's name for it is "lncRNA (ENSPCLG00000008588.1)". The record is from RNAcentral. Lineage: Eukaryota; Metazoa; Chordata; Aves; Galliformes; Phasianidae.